This 253-nucleotide ribosomal RNA is filed under the name uncultured bacterium. RNAcentral describes it as "partial 16S ribosomal RNA". It matches the Rfam family "Bacterial small subunit ribosomal RNA", at positions 524 to 776 of the family's 1533-position model. The record is from RNAcentral.
UACGAACCGUGCGAACGUUGUUCGGAAUCACUGGGCUUAAAGGGCGCGUAGGCGGGUUGUCAAGUCCGGGGUGAAAGCCCCCAGCUCAACUGGGGAAGUGCCUUGGAUACUGGGAACCUCGAGGGAGGUAGGGGCGUGCGGAACUUCCGGUGGAGCGGUGAAAUGCGUAGAUAUCGGAAGGAACACCGGUGGCGAAAGCGGCGCGCUGGACCUCUUCUGACGCUGAGGCGCGAAAGCCAGGGGAGCAAACGGG